RNAcentral lists this ribosomal RNA (247 nucleotides) under uncultured bacterium. RNAcentral describes it as "partial 16S ribosomal RNA". It matches the Rfam family "Bacterial small subunit ribosomal RNA", at positions 86 to 334 of the family's 1533-position model. The record is from RNAcentral.
UGAUGGCGACCGGCGCACGGGUGAGUAACACGUAUCCAACCUGCCGAUAACUCGGGGAUAGCCUUUCGAAAGAAAGAUUAAUACCCGAUGGUAUAAUAAAACCGCAUGGUUUAAUUAUUAAAGAAUUUCGGUUAUCGAUGGGGAUGCGUUCCAUUAGGCAGUUGGUGAGGUAACGGCUCACCAAACCUUCGAUGGAUAGGGGUUCUGAGAGGAAGGUCCCCCACAUUGGAACUGAGACACGGUCCAA